Molecule: long non-coding RNA, 864 nt
Organism: Salvelinus fontinalis (brook trout)
Lineage: Eukaryota; Metazoa; Chordata; Actinopteri; Salmoniformes; Salmonidae
Exons: 2
Source: RefSeq, a predicted model, not a curated record
UGCUUAUCAGAUCACAAACACCAUGUUGAUGACUACCUGCUGAAAGUGCCCCAUGAUGUCACAUUCCUUUUCAUUAGACUCAGCCUGAUGAGUGCAUAGUUCCAUGAAAUUCCUUUGAUGGGCUCUGCUAGAAGACCCAACAAUGAACGGCAUGCAAUCAUAUGUACCUACGGGGGAAGGAUGGCCAGCCACACAGGAGGGGGAUUUUUACUAAGGAGGAGAAGGAGGUGACUGCAUGCAGGCCAUUUCGGAGUGAAGCGUAUGAUUGCCAAACUCAACCAACGCUUCUUCCAAGGGGGAAUUAUCAAGGAGGUGAACAGCUGGGCAUGUGAAAUUGCCUUUUGUUUAUCAAUCACAUUCUAUGAUAUCUGAAAUUAUUAUGAUUUCAAUGAAUGUCAUAUCAGAGAGCACACAAUGUUUCAAUUUGUCACUUUUUGCUUAAAGUGAAUAUAAAAAAUCUCAGAUAAUAAACUAUGUGCAUUUGCACACAAAAUAAAAUGAAGCAAGUUUUAGUUUCCCUAACACUGAUAUUUUUCUGGCUCUAUCAUACUGGGCACGUAAUAUGUGAGAUACAAAGAUGAACUAAAAACACUAGCACUGCAAACACUCAGAACAAAUAGAGCAGCAGUGCCCAGACUGCAGUCUCCCUCUUCAAGUCCCCCUUCCAAGACUGGCUGCCUGUUGAGAAGUGACCGGCAGAACCUCCCACCCACACAGCAACCACCUCCUCUAUAUUCCACACUCCAGAAUUCAGUAUUUUAGUCUAUGAUUGCCAUGUGAAUGUACAAAAAAAUCUGAAAGUAAAUUAAUGGCUCAACUGUACCAAAAAAUAUAAACAUUUCUGUAUUAAAAUAUUAAAUAUUG